UAGGGAAUCUUCCAUAAUGGGCGCAAGCCUGAUGGAGCAACGCCGCGUGAGUGAAGAAGGUCUUCGGAUCGUAAAACUCUGUUGUUAGAGAAGAACAUGCGGGAGAGUAACUGUUCUUGUAUUGACGGUAUCUAACCAGAAAGCCACGGCUAACUACGUGCUAG
RNAcentral lists this ribosomal RNA (164 nucleotides) under uncultured bacterium. RNAcentral describes it as "partial 16S rRNA". It matches the Rfam family "Bacterial small subunit ribosomal RNA", at positions 355 to 511 of the family's 1533-position model. The record is from RNAcentral.